Molecule: small nuclear RNA, 105 nt
Organism: Rattus norvegicus (Norway rat)
Lineage: Eukaryota; Metazoa; Chordata; Mammalia; Rodentia; Muridae
Source: Ensembl
CGUGUUUGCUUCAACACGCAUAACUAAAAUUGGAAUGGUACAGAGAUGAUUAGCAUAGCCCUUACACAGGAGGGCACUCACGUCUGUGAAGCAUUCCGAGUUUUU